This 170-nucleotide unclassified non-coding RNA is filed under the name Fusarium neocosmosporiellum. Its description in RNAcentral is "partial internal transcribed spacer 2". Lineage: Eukaryota; Fungi; Ascomycota; Sordariomycetes; Hypocreales; Nectriaceae. The record is from RNAcentral.
CAACCCUCAGGCCCCCGGGCCUGGCGUUGGGGAUCGGCGGAGCGCCCCCUGCGGGCACACGCCGUCCCCCAAAUACAGUGGCGGUCCCGCCGCAGCUUCCAUUGCGUAGUAGCUAACACCUCGCAACUGGAGAGCGGCGCGGCCACGCCGUAAAACACCCAACUUCUGAA